AUUGAACGCUGGCGGCAGGCCUAACACAUGCAAGUCGAGCGGCAGCUGGAAGUAGCUUGCUACUUUGCCGGCGAGCGGCGGACGGGUGAGUAAUGUCUGGGAAACUGCCUGAUGGAGGGGGAUAACUACUGGAAACGGUAGCUAAUACCGCAUAACGUCGCAAGACCAAAGAGGGGGACCUUCGGGCCUCUUGACAUCAGAUGUGCCCAGAUGGGAUUAGCUAGUAGGUGGGGUAAUGGCUCACCUAGGCGACGAUCCCUAGCUGGUCUGAGAGGAUGACCAGCCACACUGGAACUGAGACACGGUCCAGACUCCUACGGGAGGCAGCAGUGGGGAAUAUUGCACAAUGGGCGCAAGCCUGAUGCAGCCAUGCCGCGUGUAUGAAGAAGGCCUUCGGGUUGUAAAGUACUUUCAGCGGGGAGGAAGGUGUUGAGGUUAAUAACCUCAGCAAUUGACGUUACCCGCAGAAGAAGCACCGGCUAACUCCGUGCCAGCAGCCGCCGUAA
RNAcentral lists this ribosomal RNA (506 nucleotides) under uncultured bacterium. RNAcentral describes it as "partial 16S ribosomal RNA". It matches the Rfam family "Bacterial small subunit ribosomal RNA", at positions 30 to 523 of the family's 1533-position model. The record is from RNAcentral.